CCUAGUCUCCCAGUGUCCCCUAGUCUCCCAGUGUCUGUGUUCCCAUGUCUGUGUCCAUAGUGUCUUAGUGUCCCCAUAUGUUUCAGUGUCCCCAUGUCUCCCAGUGUCUGUGUCCCCAUUUCUCCCAGUUUCCCUAAAUGUCUCAGUAUCCCCAUGUCUCCCAGUGUUCCCAUGUCUUUGUGUCCCCGGGUCUCUGUGUCCCCAUGUCUCUCA
Pelobates cultripes (western spadefoot toad) is the source of this 213-nucleotide non-coding RNA. The record is from the annotation of a GenBank genome assembly. NCBI's taxonomy places the organism in Eukaryota, Metazoa, Chordata, Amphibia, Anura, Pelobatidae.